AAAGCUUGCUUUUGAUGGGCGUCGACCGGCGCACGGGUGAGUAACGCGUAUCCAACCUGCCCAUCACUUGGGAAUAACCUUGCGAAAGUAAGACUAAUACCCAAUGACAUCCCACGAAGGCAUCCGAAUGGGAUUAAAGAUUUAUCGGUGAUGGAUGGGGAUGCGUCUGAUUAGCUUGUUGGCGGGGUAACGGCCCACCAAGGCAACGAUCAGUAGGGGUUCUGAGAGGAAGGUCCCCCACAUUGGAACUGAGACACGGUCCAAACUCCUACGGGAGGCAGCAGUGAGGAAUAUUGGUCAAUGGGCGAGAGCCUGAACCAGCCAAGUAGCGUGCAGGAUGACGGCCCUAUGGGUUGUAAACUGCUUUUAUAAGGGAAUAAAGUGAGUCUCGUGAGACUUUUUGCAUGUACCUUAUGAAUAAGGACCGGCUAAUUCCGUGCCAGCAGCCGCGGUAAUACGGAAGGUCCGGGCGUUAUCCGGAUUUAUUGGGUUUAAAGGGAGCGUAGGCCGGAGAUUAAGCGUGUUGUGAAAUGUAGAGGCUCAACCUCUGCACUGCAGCGCGAACUGGUCUUCUUGAGUACGCACAACGUGGGCGGAAUUCGUGGUGUAGCGGUGAAAUGCUUAGAUAUCUCGAAGAACUCCGAUUGCGAAGGCAGCUCACGGGAGCGCAACUGACGCUGAAGCUCGAAAGUGCGGGUAUCGAACAGGAUUAGAUACCCUGGUAGUCCGCACGGUAAACGUUGGAUGCCCGCUGUUGGCCUGAAUAGGCCAGCGGCCAAGCGAAAGC
Molecule: ribosomal RNA, 787 nt
Filed under: uncultured Bacteroidota bacterium
Lineage: Bacteria; Pseudomonadati; Bacteroidota
Description: bacterial SSU rRNA
Rfam family: Bacterial small subunit ribosomal RNA
Source: RNAcentral